AGCUAAAUUUCGUACGAUUAAACUAAAAAAGUAUAUUGUUGAUUCUAACAAUCGAUUGAUUAUUGAAUCAAAAAGAUUUGAUUGUUGAUUCAACAAUAUUUUAUGUUUAAACAACAAUAUUAUUUUUAUUUCAACAAUUUUUAUUGUUGAGCCGAGUUGCGUCCAUAAAAAUAGCCGUGUAUGUUUACCUUUUAUAUUUGUUCUUUGUUUUAAAAGGUUUUAAACAAAUUAAACGAUUCCUUCGUGGUAGGAAACAAACUGUUUCCACGAGAAGUGAAAAAAAAUGUUUGGUGCAAACAUGAUUGAUAAUGAGGAUCCGGAACCAGAAAAGGAAAGAGAUACACGUAGAUAAGUCGUCUUCAUUCACUCCCGGCUGAACGGAUGAUGAAAAGGCCAGGGCUUUUCUGCAGAGACAUCAGUAUCCUCUACUUCCGUGCCCAGCUUCGCUUCACAUUAUAAUCAACAAUAGAAGAUUGGCCAACAAAAUAAUAUGAAUAUUGUAAUCAAAUGAUAAAAAUAAAAUAUUUUAUGUGCA
Molecule: long non-coding RNA, 535 nt
Organism: Armigeres subalbatus
Lineage: Eukaryota; Metazoa; Arthropoda; Insecta; Diptera; Culicidae
Exons: 3
Source: RefSeq, a predicted model, not a curated record